This is a long non-coding RNA of Pipra filicauda (Wire-tailed manakin), 2240 nucleotides long. RefSeq lists it as uncharacterized. The record is from RefSeq and is a predicted model, not a curated record. The transcript has 10 exons. NCBI's taxonomy places the organism in Eukaryota, Metazoa, Chordata, Aves, Passeriformes, Pipridae.
UCAUCUCUUUUGUAAUAGUUAUCUUAACAAGUAAAGCUGAAAUGAAAGAAUCUGCCGGUGUUAUGGAUGGAAGGUGCUAUUUAAACAGAGAAAGGAUCUUCUUUCUCUUUGCCUUUUUUGCUCUGAUUUCUGAUGGUCACUAUAGCAACAGGAACCAAAGAGAUGAAGAACUGGAAAACAUGCACUUCACUAUGACAAGUUCAAUUUACAGCCAGCUCAGCAAUGUAACAAAUCUGUGUCAUACUUAAUGAGAAGCUGUGCAGCAGGGCAGGCGUGAUGGGAAGACAGAGUUAAGACUGAGAUAUGAAACAGAGAACUCAGCACCCUCCAGUUUUGUCUUUUGUUCACCCAGCUUCAUAUAUGUUUGAGACAAGGAUAAUGUGGAUGGUCACUGCAGUGCCCUUUUUGUGGGCUGGGAUUUCUAUAACCCAUGCUUUUUCCAAAGGAAACUUUCCUGGCUGCACCAUUCGUGUGUCGGAGGAUGUGGAGCUGUUUGUGCCUGAGAGCCUGAGCAGAGCUCAAAUGAGAAUUCUAAAGGCAACACAAGCCCCCAGGACAUUGUUUUCCAGUCCAUGAGCAGAAGCUUUUGGCUGCUGCAGAAGUUCCCCUCUGUCUCAUCUGAAGCUGCUGUAAAGCAUAAAACGGAAUGAUCCCCUAAAAUGGAAUCACCAGGGAGAGCAACCCCAAUGGACACCUUUCCUGCCUGUCAAAAUCCCCUCUUUGGAAGGAAUGGGCACAGGGAGUGCAUUCAGCAUUUGCCAAUGCCCUGAUGUUCCCCCACCCAAAGAGAAUUAAUGGCUGAGCUGGAAUGAAGAGCACAGCACAGAGAGCAGGCAUGGCCCAGACCUCACAGCACUAAUUAUGCCCUUAAAGGGACUGAAUUGCUAAUUUUGGACAGUCACGGGAGCUGCUCUGGAAAUGCUUGCUAGAGCAAAUGCAAAUAUAUCAUUACAACACUGAAUUAAGGGUCAAGGAAAAUACUGUUGCUAAGAAGCUGGACACACUGAAGAUAUUCAAGACUGAUGGACCAGAACCUCUUGCAUCCAUACCUGUGACAAAUGGAAAAGGUCAGGAUUAAAUGAAAGCAUGAUUGUGUGCUGUGCCAAACCCUUCCCAGAUGCUAAGCAAAAAAUUAUUGUGUUUUUUUUUUUUUUUUUUUACUUCUUACAAACAGUAGAAAUUUACAAAAACACAGUAAAUAUUUUUCAACUACAGAAACGCCUUGCAAAAUGCUGAAAUUGUAUGAAUGGUUUCAGUGCUCUGGUUUAGCUGACAAAAAGUGGUAUUUGGUCAGAGGUUGGGCUCGGUGACCUUGGAGGUCUUUUCCAACCUUAAUGAUUCUGUGUUUCUAUGACUCUACUUUCAAGGUAAUAAUUUAAAAAAAAAAAAAAAAAAGGAGAAAAAGCAAAAAAGUUAACAUUUUUAAUACUAAUUUACAUGGUAAUUUACCAGUUCAGCAGGAUGGAGUUUGUCGAGCAUAAGGGCGUGAAGACUGUUAAUUGCUUUUCUUUUUAUGACCUUACUACCACCCAACGUAUAAGUAUUAAUUCCUUUUUUUUUUUUUUUUUUCCUUAAAAGACAAAGUUGAAGGGGGAAGCAGCUUGAACCUACUGGCUAGUCUGGGAAUGAGGAUCUGCUCGCUGCUGGUGCCAUCCCCCCCCUCGGUGGUGGCCUUCACCUCGAUGAUAUAAUCGUCGUUGGACUGGAGCCACAGCUCGGCCGUCGUCUGCUCCGUGCUCAGCACCUUCACGCUGCUCUGGCUGCUGGUCCUGUACAAAACCUGCAACACAGGCAACAUCCUCCUCUAGGACCUGCCCUGCCAGUUUUGAGCUGGGCUUCUCAGAAUCCAGGUAACUCCCCACCUUCUUUCCAUGAACAGUCAGAUCAAAACUCAUCUGAUUAUACUUCAAAAAUAGACACAAAAAUGUACGAGUGAGACUUAAAGAAAUUAUUCUGAAGUCAAACAACCACUCACAGGGAAUGGGUGCCCAGGAGACCUCGAUGGCCGAGGAGGACAGGCUGGUGGCAGACACUCCAGAGGGGGCUGUGCUGGGCUCUGCAUUGGGAAACCAAGGAAGGAGAGGUGACAAACAGAACUGGGGACUGUGCAAAUAAACAUAUGAACAGAAGAUCUCAUUUCUAUGAACUGUUGCUGUUCUCUGAUGGAACAGCUCACAGUAAAUAUUUGGAAGCAACUCAAUCCUGUACCUUCUUCAGCUGAAUAAACCGUGGUGACUGAA